This 3245-nucleotide small RNA is filed under the name Rattus norvegicus (Norway rat). RNAcentral's name for it is "uncharacterized LOC100910343". Lineage: Eukaryota; Metazoa; Chordata; Mammalia; Rodentia; Muridae. The record is from RNAcentral.
CUGCCCUUGGCCCUGUGAAUGAUUCCUCCCCCAUGCUUCUGCUUCCAUGCUGAAGUAGAUCACUGCAGUCCCAUGGUCGUCUCCAGUCUGCAGUAGAUCCGGGUCUUCUCUUCCCUCCCACACCUUUAGCACUUUAGAGGAAGUUCUGGCCUGGGGUCCCAUGGAAUUCCAUCCCAGAUGAGCAUGCUUGGCAGUUUCUCAGAUUGAGUUGCAGCGUCAUCGGGUUUGGGGCGAGCAAAGCAGGCGCGAGGCCUCCCCCUAUUUCACACCCAGAGCACGUGGAACGCUCAACUGACUUUCCGGUGGUCUCCGCCGCCACCUCUUAGUUCAAUGUUUCUGCUGGCAGGUCCCAGACUGUUCAAUGCCUCUCUCUGAACUGGGAAUGAAGAGUUGAGGACCACUGGAUGCUGUGAAGCACCUUUUAGAAGGCUAAGCCUCAGAAGAACAAGAUCGGAAAGCAAAACAGUGAGUUUUGUUCUACUGUAGGCUCUGGCCAUAAUGUAUCACUUUGGGCCUCAGGCAAUGGAAGGAGUGGAGUGUGGCCUGAAGCUUCCAAAAUUGUGAUCCCAACGUAACCUUCUCUGCCAAGAAGCUGCGCUUGGGCAUUUGUGAGUGAUGGUAGGCGAACUGACAUGCUUGUCUCCUGGGAGGAAGGCCCAUAAAGUGAUUCCCUAGGGCCAGAGACAUCCUAGCCUCAAACACUACUGAGAAAUGCUAAGACGCCUGAAGCCCACAGCAGACCUCCCAGAAAGGAAAGUUUGUGAAGCGCCAUUCAAACAUGAGCCCUACAGGUCCUCCUGCCACCCGCCUCUUUCCCACUUUCAUCUCAUCUGGGAAGGAUCAACUGCAGGAGGUGGAUGAGAAAGGAAGCAGCAAGGUCUGCUCAAGUCCAGCUCACCUGACAUACCCUGCUGUCCAACCCCACGUGUGCUGCUGUGGAUGCUGGGAGCAGCUGCAGCGUCACAGAGGAAAUCCCCUUUGACUUGGGAUCCAGUGAGACAUCACCUGAUUACAUAGGCUCCAUAAUACUCCCUCAGGACAGGAGAACCAGAGAUGAGAUGUCAGGAGGAGAUCCCCUGAGAAGCUGUCACUGGACCCUAUCAUCAGUGAGCACUGGCCGCAGCCAGGCGGCCCCCAACAGCCUCCGACACCACCAGACGAAGGGGCUGAAAGGAGGUGGGGGUGCAGAUUGUUCGCUUGUUUCCCACUCUAUGUUGUUGCCUCUCUAUCUCAGAGGAAAACAGCACAUUUCCCAGGGGUGAAAACAGGCCCAGCUCUGUGGUCGUCAAACCACCAGGGCUGGGGGGUGGCCUGGUAUGGGGAACCCCAAGAGUGACAGGAAGGAGCCAGGCCGGAAUUCCAGGAGCCUGUCUGCUCAAACACCUGUUGGCAUCCAGACAACCCUGGGAGCCAGGCACAAGCUCGCCUUCCUCUCCUCUAGCUGCUGGAUCUGAGCUAAUAGCACCUUCACUCUUUAGUUCAACAUGAAGCCAGUACUGUCCUCUGGGGGAUGUGAUCCACAUGGCUUCCACCUUAUGAAGCUUCAUCCCUCCAGUCUCUGUAAGAUAUUGGGAUGGAACGCCCACAGUGAGAGAACUGAGUGUCCCACUGGACUCAGGGGCUUCACCAGUUCGCCCCUCCCUCAUCCUCACCAACUUUAUCACUGACCAGCGCAGAGACUGUGCCUCCUUCCUGCAAGCACCAAAGGUGCUGGUCCCUAGCCCCAGGAUUCCAGAAACUGGCGGAAUUUUUCCUGUCCCGUGGAGGGAUAUCUUGACUUAUAUUUUGACUAUACGUUUGAGAUUUUUCUGCUACACUGAGGCAAGCUUAGGGACCAGGCAUAGGAGGAUGUCUUGAGGACUGUGUGACUGCAAAUAUCAGCUACAUGGACCCCUGCUGGCUUCUCCAGAACACUGUGGAAGGGUUUGAGAAUAUGUCCCCAGCUGAUCCCUGCAAAGUCGAUGCAGAGCUGCAGCUGCGCCUACCCCUGGACAACAUGGCUGGGGGGAAGGGCAGUGUCUCUCUACUUCGUCCCAGGUCACUGCUGAUGUGAAGAUGAGGGACUUGGGAAUAUCCACUUGGACAAUCUCUCCUUGGCCUUAAAGGGCUGGUCUGCCCUGAAAGAGUCACAGCUCAGAGAGGCUGCUCUUGAGAUCACAAGUUCUAACGAAACAUAGAGAACUCCAUAGCUGUCACAUGCUUCUGCGUGGCUACCUGGAUGGCUUAGAAGACACUGUAAUUGAACCCCAAGGGCUCUCGUGUCUGUGACUGAAAAGACAAAUCAUGCAGAUGAUGCAUAAAGAGAUGAGAAAGAUUUAAUACCCUCAGCAGGUAAGGAAUCAAUUGAGCCGCUAUCCCCUCGGAGGGAAGCGUGGGCGUAUUUCACUCAGGGACCUUAAAUACAUUCCUGGAUGAGUAGCCAUUCAUAAGCAUGCUUGGCCAAGGAGCUUAUGGCCAUGCACAGUUUAAGGUAACGGAGCACACGUUUAGAUUUAAGUGAUGUCGAGAAAGAGUCUCCCACAAAAGUGCUCACCUUGCUUUGUGGCCAACAGCACCGCUGUGGGCACUUGGCGUUGUGGGCACAGGACUCUCAUGGAGUCCGAACCCCUGGUGAGCUUUGUCCACGUGACGCACUGAAGUCAGAAGCAGAAGGCUGCUUAGGCAUGUCAAGAAGAUGGCGGAAGGAUGUUUUGAAUUUCAGUUUGUGCCCGUCCCUUCUCCCCUCAGACUUGGUCUCCUCGUUUCUUCUGUGUUGUUCUGUCAGGGAUAAAGACAGUUCUGAAACCUCAUUUUUGAUGGCUGCUGUUAACCUAAACAACUCUCAUCCCCCAAGAAGAGGGCCUGACCUCAGGGAUGGUGCUGCUCAUGGCUCCUUCGUCUUCAGAGACGCAGCAGGGACGCUGCUACUGUGUGACAGUGCAUGGCUGUUUCCAUGUGCUGCUUCGCCUUUGUCUGCAAGGAUCUGUCUCCCCACUUGCAGAGCACAGAGGUGUCCAGGUGGCACUAACUGUCCCCACCCCUUCUCCAGGCUCCUUUCUGCUGUUCCAGGACAGCCUGCCCUGUGCUGGUAUAUGUUCUGUCAGGCUUCAAGCUCCUUCCCACCCUGGGCUGCCCACAAACACAGUGGAAAACACAGCUCAGCCUUGUAAGCCUUUUAAGAGCCAGACCCUCUCCAUUUGCUGAGUAAACUUGCCCAGGGUUAAAAUACCCCUUGCCCUAGGAAUAAAGACAACAUAAAGUGAAAA